GACGAACGCUGGCGGCGUGCCUAAUACAUGCAAGUUGAGCGCUGAAGGUUGGUACUUGUACCAACUGGAUGAGCAGCGAACGGGUGAGUAACGCGUGGGGAAUCUGCCUUUGAGCGGGGGACAACAUUUGGAAACGAAUGCUAAUACCGCAUAAAAACUUUAAACACAAGUUUUAAGUUUGAAAGAUGCAAUUGCAUCACUCAAAGAUGAUCCCGCGUUGUAUUAGCUAGUUGGUGAGGUAAAGGCUCACCAAGGCGAUGAUACAUAGCCGACCUGAGAGGGUGAUAGGCCAAAUUGGGACUGAGACACGGCCCAAACUCCUACGGGAGGCAGCAGUAGGGAAUCUUCGGCAAUGGACGAAAGUCUGACCGAGAAACGCCGCGUGAGUGAAGAAGGUUUUCGGAUCGUAAAACUCUGUUGGUAGAGAAGAACGUUGGUGAGAGUGGAAAGCUCAUCAAGUGACGGUAACUACCCAGAAAGGGACGGCUAACUACGUG
Molecule: ribosomal RNA, 497 nt
Filed under: uncultured bacterium
Lineage: Bacteria
Description: partial 16S ribosomal RNA
Rfam family: Bacterial small subunit ribosomal RNA
Source: RNAcentral